UAAAUGUCCAACUACAAGCCUGAAGCCUGCUUAAGGGAAAUACAGGCAUAACUUUUAAAGUAGCACUUUAGUUAAUACUCUGCAUCCUGAUAUAAGAAGGAUUUAAUCCUGCAUACAGAUCUGUGAUGGUGUUACAGUCUUCACCAGUGUAACACUAUUCUGGUGGACUAUACCUGCAGGCUCCAAAAAACCUUCCCUUGGCCUUUCAAACAAACUGUGCCUUUAAAGAGGCUUGUAAGCCUGCCUCCACAGCUGUGUGAUCCUGAUCCGAUCCAUCGAGCGCGAAGAGGAAGCUGUUUGAUUGUUGAGCAGGCUCCAUCCAUUCCCGCCCUGACCACAGACACGCAGGUUACAGUGUCCCUGUCUGCCUUAUCUCCUGGUGCACCGGCUCGGCUUCAGACCCACGGCUCCGGCCCGGCCCCUGCUCAAGAUAAAGCCCAAAAUAGACCACUCUCGCUGACAGCACGGCAGCGCUAGAUAAGGCUGUUGUGUCCACAGCUUUGAGCAAGAAAUGGGUAGGAGAGGGAGGGGAGAAAAGGUUGGUGUGCAGGAGAGAGACAGUAAGCAAAAUAAUGUUGUAGUGAAUGCAUGGUGUUGAUCGGGUUUUGUUGCUAGUGCUUGCCCUUUGACCCUCUUAUUCAACCACAGAUAAGAGAAGUCACGGUUAUAGAAAUGCACAAAUCUGUUUUCCCUCUCUCUUUUCUCACAGUUGAGGCCAUUGAUUGUGUUUAUUGACCCACGUAGUUGAAGCCCCAGCCAAUUUGGUCAUCAUGGCUUACAGCGAUAAGAAAAUGACCCAGCACCGAGUGCACCCCUACGUGUGUGCUUGUGCUCGUGCUCAUAUGUGUGCAUCUUUUUUAUUGUCUAUUCCAGCUUGCCUAUAGCUUAUUAUUCAGCCUCCGCCAGAUGGCAAACUGCAAAAGUGCAUCUAAAAAGGUUUUCCUCCGCUGGCAUGCAGAAGCCAAUCAAUAGCUGUGUGUCUUAGUAAAUUAGAUCAUGUAGACAAGAGGCAGUAGUCAGCAGAGCCAUCCCAAAGUAACCCCUUGCCUGGUUAGUUCAUUCUCCAUUAGACAACAGCCUGGAGUAAUUGAAUUGGCCUGUACAAUCUCAGGGCUUGGCCUUCACUUUUUCGCCUUUGACAGCAUAUAUUCAGGUCUGAUAACUUAAUACCCCAGCCAAGAACCAAUGUACAAGUAUUUUUAUAUAUCCAUUGAUAGUGUAGCGGUUAAGACCCUUACAAUUAGAACCACAUGUACCCUAGCUUCUUGUCAGAAGCCUGCACAUUGUCUCCUUCAGACAAAAAUGCCAUGGGGAGGUGCCUGAAUAUGAUGUUGCAAGAUUAACAAACAUUUUUACAAACUUAACCUACCACCCUCUAAAACCAUUUUAUUCAUACAUGCAUCACUUUUGUGUUAAAUGAUGUGACAAAUAAACGACAGACCUCGAGCUCUGUGGGCUGCCAAACUUAAUAAGAGAUGUCUCGCUUCUCUUGUUAUUUGGGGGUAAAUAAGUCGUUAUGGCAAUGAUGAGAUGCAAGCUAAUUAUCCGCCCCAAGCCAAUCAAUGACAAAGCCAAGCUUCACUAUAGAACAAGCAUUAUAGUCAGAGAAAGAAAGAGGGAGUAAGAGUAAAAUUUGCACAUGAAGAAUUUUUUAAAAGGGCUGCUGAUGAAGAGUUUUGGGGUCUUUCGGUUCACAAAGUUAUACUCUAAUAUUAAGCAUUAAAAGCAUAGAGGCUAAUUAGGACACCAUUAAUACUUAUAUCCCUGUCUGCCACCCCACCCCCCACCCCGCCUCAUUAUUCCAUAAAUUCUGUAUCUGUUGCCGGCAGACAAAAAAUGCAAUUUAUCCAUUUUUAUAUCCAUUACAUGGUGGUACUCCACUAAAGCACUUACAUAUACAUAAUUACAGAAAUACAGGACAAGCACAGGCUUGAAACCCCUGAGAAAAUCAUAUUAUCCUACAAUCGCACACCACUCUAUAACCUGUAUCGCUACAUUAAUGCAUCAAAUGGUUUAAUUUCUGUCCUUGCAUGUAUAUGCUGUUUGUCAGUGCUUGCAACACAGUUAACACUUGCUACAGUGGUUACACUUUGGCCCAAGGUAAAUAUAGUCCUCUACAGUUUUUCAAUGACCAACUCCAUUUAAGCAUUGGCAAGCAGAAGCUAACAAAAGUGUUAAAAAACAAAAACUAAAAAAAUUUCUCAUCAUCUUUCCCCUCUUGUAUUUUUCAAACUGCCAACCUUUCAGGCAUGAGCACAUGCAAUGUUUUUUUUCCACUUGUGCAUGAGGCUUGUGUACUUAUAGCUGCACUGAGGUAGGGCUGGUGUUAGCUCAGAUGGAAAACAAGCAAAUGUUUCGUUAGGAGAAAGCAUGAUGAAGUAUUUAGGCCUCUUUAUUCUGGAUUGCAUCUGUUAGUGGGCUUUUCUUAGUCUAGCACGCAAGCUGCAUUACAACUUUACAUUUGCAUCAAUCCAUUUCAAGGAUGCACACUAACCCUCAAUAUUACAUUUUGUAAAUGAAAGUUACCUGCUGUUGUCACUGUUUGAAGGUGGCCUUUAAUUACUAAACAAGAAUUCAUAAAAGCUCCUAUCUAUAUAUUCUUACUUGCAUGUUUAUAUUUAUCUAUCUAAUCUACGUACUCAUUGUUGUCCCUUAAGAUACAAAUCAUUGUGUCAAAGCACUGGAGUUGUUUAAACCCAAAACACAGGGAUCAGGUGGCCUAUUUCUUACUGUUAAAAUCACAAAGUGGAAAUUUUCAUCAUGCAACAUAAUUGCUUCAGGAGAGUCCCAUCACGCAGCUCUAAAACGGGAACAACAAAAUCUGCUGUCUCAACAUGCAAACCAUGGGAAAGUAUCAGCCGAGUAGUUUUCUUCAGCAACUGCGAGUGUCUUCUGCGACAAAAACAUCCAGUGGUGUAUGUGGCCAUAAUCCCAUGUGACAUGGGCGGUCAAGGGGAAGGGAUUGGAGGGCUUGGAGAAAAAGACAGAGCAUGGCAACGCUGAGCAAGAGGGAGGGAGAGGGACAGACAGAAUAAGAAAGAGAGACUUCCCCUGUCCUUUUUCCUUGCAGAAAGACACUUGUGUCGGAUACAAGGUAAUGCUCCCAUUUAUAUCUCCCUUUAAAAGGCCCCUGGAAACAUGAGCGGGGACCCCAUGCACCAAGACGGGGAGGAGGAUUCUUGGUUAAAAUUCAUUUAAUUCAUUCCCUUCAUUUGGUCCACUUUGUUCAGUGGCAAGCUACUACCUGAACUUGCAGAGAUAGUUGGCCAAACACAGAUUAAAGCACAGCACCGCAAGGGAACACAUCUAAUACUGGAGCUUCACUCUGUCUGAGCUGCUGCAUGGGAGUUUGGCUUAGUGUGUUCAAACAGUGAAGUGUGGCAAUAAAGCCAUACUAUAGCUAGGCUAGGAUAAGCCCAUUUCUAAUCCUAUCCAAUAUCUCCAUAUAGCCCAGCUGUCAAACAGUACAGGGGACAUACAGUAACUGCUGCUCUUUUGUUUAUCACUCCAUCUCUCCCUGUCCCUCUCUCCCUCCAUUUCUCUUUGAUAAUGGCGGCCUCAGCGCAGGAAUCUGCCGCCAUCCAUUCCAAGCAGCAGGUAAUGGAUUGAGUGCGGGACCUGAUCUGGCUAUGGAUGAGCCAGCCCGUAGGUGUCUGAGUGGGCGUUCAAAUGGAUUCAGAGAAGCUCGCCUAGAAUAACACACUUUGUCACCGCAAGCUUUGUCUUCACAGAUCUUCCAUGUUCACUGUCAGUGCUGCCCCCACCCCCACCCUACCCCAUCCCUCUCUUCAAAGACAAAAACUCUUUAAAACAAGACAGCGGUGUGCCAACGUCUCACUGUCUGACUGGUUAAGGGACAUUUUGAUAUUGUCAGGAUGCUUCUCCUUAAUCCCAGCAAUGUUGCACAAGCACACUGCUCUACUUCUCACUUUGAUCACUGUUUUUAACAAAGGGACACAGAAACAGAUCAAGAGGAUUGUAGAACCGACGCCAAUGUCACGCUACUAAUGCUGAAAAUCAUAAAUUGUCCAAACAAGAACGUUCUCAGCUGUGAUUCUGGCAGCUAAUACAUAUUGUGCUGCAAGUGGUUGUAUGCCGUCACUGAGGAGCAGAGUAAAUGAUUCCAAAAACCACAGGGAUGUUGCAAUCUCCACAGAGUCCUUACAGAUACCUGGAAACCAAUAUAAACCAACAUCUGGUAAUGAAUUAUGGAUGGAGAUGAAAUGCAUGUACUCGGCCAGGCUCUCUACAGGGGUUGUUAUUUACAGUCUCGCAGAAAUAUGCUUCCCAUCAUGGCUGGUGGAAUUUGCUACAUGACGUGUGGUAUUGUGCGCUGUGAUAUACAGUUAUGGAUUACUUCAAAGCCAUAAAAUACAUAAACUGAGAUGAUAUGUUCUGGAGGAAUAUUUCUAGUCACAUCUCAACAUUUAUAAAACUUGAUUACACCUAAGUAUAUCUCUUUCUUCUAAUAUAAUUGCAUAUGUUUAUUUUCUAUGUGACAGGAGCCCAGGUAAUUAAAAUGUCUUUAUCUGUCGGAAUAACCUUUGUUGCCAGAAAAAUAUGGCCAAGCGCCAGAUGGAGAAAUAUGUUUAUGAAUACUUGUGUACAUAUGUGUGCACGCAUACAUGUUUACAUAUUUGCAUAUGGAUGUGCAGACUGGCAGUGUUCCCAAUUUCUGUGAGUGUGCGUGUGCUGGAGCAUGUGUGUGUGAGCGAGGGAUGAUGGAAGCGUGGUGACUCUGCCUGGAGGCAGCAGCCACCCCAUUGUGGGGGGUGAACACGAGGCCAGACACCUGUUUUUCCCAAAAUGAAUUAUGGAACGAAGCCAAGCGCGUGUUAUUCUCCACACAACUGACAACAGAGGCCAAGGCCAAAGACCUGAGGAGAGACAGAAUGAGGCUGGCAUUACAGAGAGUGCUAAACAAUAAGAUAUCCAGAGUAAGAAGGUAUGAAGGUUAUGAGUCCUUGUUUACUUUAAUAGACUCUCUUAUAAUGGGGGAUGGAAUUCUAAUAGACUUUUCCAUUGCAUGCUUUGCUUUGCGGCUGAUGCAACUCAAUUAAAAAAGAUGGAGAGAGCCAUUUAAAUCUUAUGAAAUAUUCAUUGUUUAUAGGCAGUUAUGUGUAGACAACUCAUGAAGUAAACAUUAUAACGACAGUGGAACUGUUGUUGUGGAGCAAAGCAUAUAUGACUCAUGAUAUAUUAUAUUAGCUGUUUUAACCCCCAACAUCAUGAACUCGGCAAUAGAAUACACUAGAAUUCAAUAUGAAUACACACAACUUCCAGCACAACAGAAUCAAUGAAUCAGCAUCAAAUUUGUUUUUGGAAAAACAACAUCAAAACAACUGCAAACUGGCUCUAAGAGACUUAUUACUCACCACGUCUUGUUUCAGCAGUAAAUACAUUUAUUUGGCUUCAUCUAUUCAUACCUGCAGCCUUCUAUUUAUUUACCUGUUCUAAUCUGACAUACAAAUUUCCUACAUAGCUCAUUUGUACAGUUUCCUCAACUUGUCAGGCUGCAACUACUUAUGUAAAAUUGAGGCACAGCUCCUAAAAUGAGCAGGAAAUAGAAAGAGAGAGACAGCGUUUGGCUUUUACUGCAGUGUGUGGGCAGCUGUCGACUGCACCCAUGCACUAACCUGUGCCCGCUGAUGUCACACACGCCACCCAACCAUUGCGUCAGUCUCCAAAGAUGCCACUCUGAUAGCAAAUAGCAAGCCUUCUGGGCUGCAGAAGGCAUUUAGUCUCAUAUUUAGUCUUUACAUUUUUCUGAAGAUCUGUAAAAUGCUCUGCAAAUUUGGUGAGAUAACCCCACUUAUCUCCAUAUAAUGAGUCUGGAAAAUCCGCUCAUUUGCAAGGAAAAUUAUUUAAAUUACUGUAUGCCCCCCCAUAUGUUUAAGCUCUUUAAGAAACCUGGAUUUGAUGACACAGCAGACAUACAGUACAGUAUGUAUGCUUUUGCCUUCCAUAUAAGUGAACACUAAAGUGGAAACAGUACAUGGUUAAUGAACACACAUAUGCAAGGCUAGCACAAAUGCAUAUGGACAGGCAUACAGGGUAUAUACUGUCUGUACACAGGGAUUUCACAUAAACAUACACACACAAUAUAUACACAUAUGUCCACAUAUUAUCCUCCUUAGAGGCAACUGACCGUUUACCAAACCGCAUACCUCUUAGUUAUUGUUGCUACAUGUAUACUGCACAUACACAUAUACAGUAUAUAAUGAUAACUGUGGCAGAUUUACUACUAGAAAUUUUAAGGUUUUUUUUAAACAAAGUCGGUUUCUCAUUUCUAACCAACACCCACCUAACAGAUACAUUUGCAAAUUUUAUGGUCUGUAGCUAAGCUAAUAUUUGCUAACUAUCUGAGUUGGGUAAAUUAUUUCCAGCUGACUUGAUACACCAACUUAAUCAAUCAUGACAUAAAAACACUCCUUUCAUCAAAUAACUAAUUAAAACUACCACAUGAGGAUACAUAAGCAUGAUUACAAAUUACAGAAACCACUUUCGGUAACUGUACUGUGUACUUUUAUUUUAUUUUGUUUGGCCCUCGUCCCAUCUGCCAACAUGGAGGGAGGAUGGUAGUUAGCUGCACAUGCUAAUUCCAUUCCUUACAAAUUUGCUCCUGUGAUUUUGGUCUUGAAGAGGCUUAAAAAAGAGAAACACCACCCAACCAACACUUGAGCCCUUUACUCAUAACCCAUACACACUGCUUUGGCAUGUUCAGAAUCCAAAGCUUCACAGACUGGCUGUGCUAGUUAUGUUUGCUAAGAAGACUGGCCUAUCACAGUUCGGGGGAGGCAUUUAACGAACAGUCAAUUUUCUGGGGCAAAGUACAUCACAUCACAAACAGAUCCCUGAGGAUGUGAGCAUGAAGUGAUUUCCCUUUACAGUCAUACUGACUGUUAUAUAGAAAGGGUUACAUGGUGAGGACAUUGAGCUGCAUCAUCAGGAGAAUGUCUGUGGUUAUGUGGCUGAGGAUGGAUACAGUAAGUGGUAACAUUGAGAUAUGUGAAAGCCUUGCUGGGUUACCGUGGGGUCAAUUUACAGCAAAUAACUAUGAUCUUGCAUGACUUGAAUGAAUGAUGAUCCAGUGACUGAUUCUAUGUGUCAGGAGUCAUAAACUAUCAACACAUGACAGCAGUCUGAGUGAAAUUGAAAUACAUCUGUGAAUUUUGUCUUUAAAAUGCACUGUCUACAUGCUUUGUCACUUUAUGACAGGCAUGUCUGAUAGCGCCUGAGGUAUGUCCAAAGAGUUGCAGAGAAUUUUAUUUUCUAGAGUAAUUUGUUUCACCCAGGGUAUAAGGACAUCAGGCUCUAAGGGGUAGUUAGCGCUGUCCUUCUAAAUAUCAUCGUUCACACCUGGGGGUCACAGGCUCUGCACUGUCGACUCAAAGCACAUCAAAAGGGGAGCUCAAAAUACCAUUAGUAUUUCAUCAUUAAGUCGCAGAAAUACGCAGAAAUGUCAAUUUGCAUAGCCUGUCAUGGCCAGCCGGAGGGUGGCAGCGCGUCUGUCUGUCUCCCUGUAUAUUUGUCUAAAGACAGGAAGUGGUUGACAUACUCAGGAGGUGUGAAUUUCCUACCCAUGAUUAAUUUAGCCCUUCCUGUGGCGGCAGCCUGCCAUGAACGUUUCCUGGGCUCAAUUUAACUCUGAUCAACACAUUCACAGUGAAUGCCAUCUGGUGAUUCGAUUCUGACAAAUUACCCUUGUGUUGUGCUUGAUAACGCCUUGAAACCAGCGUGUUUAUUUUCCUUUGGUGGUUUUUUAUUGUGUAAGUGGGGGGGAAAUAUUGACCUGAGCUGACGGUAAAGUGAAACCGGACAAGCAGCAAUGCUAAAUAAGUUUGCCGUUCCUAGUCCUCUUCUCCUGGAGGGACUUGCAUUUGAUAUGUGUUGCUGAUGGUGCUGAAACUUCUCUGGCUUUGUAACUACUCACCUGAAGGUUUCCCUGCCACACAAGUCAGGCUAGAUUGGAGUUAUGCGAUUAGGAGUGGUGUUGAGUUUUAGCCAGGCAAAGCCUCUAGUGUACUGUUAUGUCUGCCUCUGCUUGUAUCAAGCAGCACCCAACCUCCAAGCCUUCUAGCCACCAACUUUAGGCUUCCUCCCUUCUCAUGUUGUUGUGUUCUCUGAAGAACAUUGAAGUCUUUGCUUUGCAGAAAAACAGCUCAGAGGAAACAUACAAACAUGCGUGGGCAAGACUGUACAGAUGUGCUCAUAUAGUACACUAAAUGUGCAUGCACACAUGAUGCGCCCAGGCUGAGUAAAUUGGCAGUGGUUUGCUUUCCAGGCAAGGUUGAAAUGAAAAUAUUCUGUGUGCAUUUGUCUACAGAACAGUAACCUCACUGAAGAUAAUCACCAAUUGAGAAAGAAGCCACUGCCAGCAGUGCUCCUGGUCUCUAACAAAUAUCUGUGGGGAGUUAAAUUGCAAUGUCUUUUCCUGUAAUGAUAAAACAUUAGAGUCUG
Dicentrarchus labrax (European seabass) is the source of this 8460-nucleotide long non-coding RNA. RefSeq lists it as uncharacterized. The record is from RefSeq and is a predicted model, not a curated record. The transcript is spliced from 2 exons. NCBI's taxonomy places the organism in Eukaryota, Metazoa, Chordata, Actinopteri, Moronidae.